GCCAGACUCCUACGGGAGGCAGCAGUGAGGAAUAUUGGUCAAUGGCCGGAAGGCUGAACCAGCCAAGCCGCGUGAAGGACGAAGGUGCCAAGCAUUGUAAACUUCUUCUGUCAAGGGACAAAAUCAGGCUCGAGAGCCUGACCGAGGGUACUUGAAGAAAAAGCAUCGGCUAACUCCGUGCCAGCAGCCGCGGUAAUACGGAGGAUGCGAGCGUUAUCCGGAUUUAUUGGGUUUAAAGGGAGCGUAGAUGGGUUGUUAAGUCAGUUGUGAAAGUUUGCGGCUCAACCGUAAAAUUGCAAUUGAUACUGGCAGUCUUGAGUACAGUUGAGGUAGGCGGAAUUCGUGGUGUAGCGGUGAAAUGCUUAGAUAUUGCGCAGAACUCCGAUUGCGAAGGCAGCAUACCGGCGGCGAUCUGACGCUGAGGCACGAAAGCGUGGGUAUCGAACAGGAUUAGAUACCCGCGUAC
Molecule: ribosomal RNA, 466 nt
Filed under: uncultured bacterium
Lineage: Bacteria
Description: bacterial SSU rRNA
Rfam family: Bacterial small subunit ribosomal RNA
Source: RNAcentral